GGGGCUGACUGGCUUUGACAGCGGGUAGAGGUGGUGUGUAAGCAUGCAGAGCUUCGUAGCCUGGCUCUUUAAUCUCAGACUUCAAAAAUUUAAUUGGCGAAAAUUCUUACGCUCUCGCUGCCUAAUCGAAGCACAGUAGAUUGGCUUUAUUCCCCCACAAGGUGAGGGAACGAGACAUCACCCAGAUGCUGUUGUUCCGAAGCGGUCUGAAUAGGUGGUGCAGAUAAUAUCGGAAAUAGCCUGCGGCUUGUCCUGCGCCAAGGGUGAAGUUCUUAAGGACUAAGGUUGUGGUUGGUAGCUUCGCACUCGCCGCUUCCCUACAAUUGCAGCGAAGAUAAGCAUGUAGAAAGCACGUCAGUUCCUCGUUUGGACGAGGGUUCGAUUCCCUCCAGCUCCACAA
Molecule: transfer-messenger RNA, 400 nt
Filed under: Barnesiellaceae
Lineage: Bacteria; Pseudomonadati; Bacteroidota; Bacteroidia; Bacteroidales
Also listed under: 2 other names
Description: Barnesiella_A sp017410245 Standard tmRNA
Rfam family: transfer-messenger RNA
About the family: Bacterial tmRNA, also known as 10Sa RNA or SsrA, is named for its dual tRNA and mRNA-like properties. Its role is to liberate the mRNA from a stalled ribosome.
Source: RNAcentral